This 424-nucleotide ribosomal RNA is filed under the name uncultured Sphingobacteriales bacterium. Its description in RNAcentral is "bacterial SSU rRNA". It matches the Rfam family "Bacterial small subunit ribosomal RNA", at positions 956 to 1381 of the family's 1533-position model. Lineage: Bacteria; Pseudomonadati; Bacteroidota; Sphingobacteriia; Sphingobacteriales. The record is from RNAcentral.
GAUACGCGAGGAACCUUACCUGGGCUCAAAUGUAUGUUGACGUAUUCUGAAAGGGAUACUUCUUCGGACAAUAUACAAGGUGCUGCAUGGUUGUCGUCAGCUCGUGCCGUGAGGUGUCGGGUUAAGUCCCAUAACCGAGCGCAACCCCUAUCAUUAGUUGCCAUCAGGUCAAGCUGGGGACUCUAAUGAAACUGCCUACGCAAGUAGUGAGGAAGGUGGGGAUGACGUCAAAUCAGCACGGCCCUUACGUCCAGGGCUACACACGUGCUACAAUGGCCGGUACAAAGGGCAGCUACCUGGUGACAGGAUGCAAAUCUCCAAAGUCGGUCUCAGUUCGGAUCGGAGUCUGCAACCCGACUCCGUGAAGUUGGAUUCGCUAGUAAUCGCGCAUCAGCCAUGGCGCGGUGAAUACGUUCCCGGCCUU